AGCUCUGAGCCGACACCGAGCAGCCCACUGCCAACGCUGCUGCCACCUUCUCUCCCCUAGGCGUCGGCGGGCAGGAACCUGCAGAGGUGCUGCCGUUUCUGGCCUUCAAUUUGCUUCCUGUUGGUAAAACUGAGCAGGUGACAUCACUACAGACAGUUCUGUGCAGACAGGUGUGUGGGCUGAGAAAUAUGACACUAAUACCUCCCCAGAUACUAGACCAUGGAAACAUGCACGUGGGUUAAAUGGAGUGAAACAGCCCGUCCCAACACAGGAAAAAUCUCCAGGGUGUGUAGUGAGUAGUGAGUGCACAAUAAAUAUUUACCAUUGUUAAAUGAAUGUUUUCUGCAUCUCAUAAUAACUAAAGUUCUCUGUUCAGUCUAUUGACUGUAUAUUUAGUGAAGGGCCAGAGAGUGAAAG
Seriola aureovittata is the source of this 417-nucleotide long non-coding RNA. RefSeq lists it as uncharacterized. NCBI's taxonomy places the organism in Eukaryota, Metazoa, Chordata, Actinopteri, Carangiformes, Carangidae. The transcript is spliced from 3 exons. The record is from RefSeq and is a predicted model, not a curated record.